Molecule: ribosomal RNA, 326 nt
Filed under: uncultured microorganism
Description: bacterial SSU rRNA
Rfam family: Archaeal small subunit ribosomal RNA
Source: RNAcentral
GUGCAGCAGGCGAGAAACUCCGCAAUGCUCGAAAGAGUGACGGGGGAUUCCAAGUGCCUACGCUUAGCGUAGGCUGUUCAGAUGCCUAAAAGCAUCUGGAGUAAGGGCUGGGUAAGACGGGUGCCAUCUGCAGUGGUAAUGAAAAACUUGCUACUGCAAGGCAUAAGCCGCCGCGGUAAUACCCGCAGCCCGAGUGGUAGUCGCUUUUAUUGGGCCUAAAGCGUCCGUAGCCGGUCUGGUAAAUGCCUGGGUAAAUCGUGGGGCCUAACCUCACGAAUUCCGGGUAGACUGCCAGACUUGGGACCGGUUGAGGGAGAGGGUACUCC